GAGGGUGCAAGCGUUACUCGGAAUUACUGGGCGUAAAGGGUNNGUAGGCUGACUUUUAAGUCAGNNNNGAAAUCCAAUGGCUUAACCAUUGAACUGCGCUUGAAACUGGGAGUCUAGAGUUCAGAAGGGGCAGAUGGAAUUAGUGGUGUAGGGGUAAAAUCCGUAGAUAUCACUAGGAAUAUCAAAAGCGAAGGCGAUCUGCUGGGAUGAUACUGACGCUGAGGCACGAAAGCGUGGGGAGCAAACAGGAUUAGAUACCCUGGUAGUCCACGCCCUAAACGAUGAAUGCUAGUCGUCGGGGAGCUCGUCUCUUCGGUGAUGCACUUAACAGAUUAAGCAUUCCGCC
This 346-nucleotide ribosomal RNA is filed under the name uncultured bacterium. RNAcentral describes it as "bacterial SSU rRNA". It matches the Rfam family "Bacterial small subunit ribosomal RNA", at positions 528 to 873 of the family's 1533-position model. The record is from RNAcentral.